Molecule: ribosomal RNA, 302 nt
Filed under: uncultured bacterium
Lineage: Bacteria
Description: partial 16S ribosomal RNA
Rfam family: Bacterial small subunit ribosomal RNA
Source: RNAcentral
CACUGUGGAAUUCGCCCUUAGAGUUUGAUCCUGGCUCAGAUUGAACGCUGGCGGCAGGCUUAACACAUGCAAGUCGAGCGGGGGAAGGUAGCUUGCUACUGGACCUAGCGGCGGACGGGUGAGUAAUACUUAGGAACCUGCCUAUUAGUGGGGGACAACGUUCCGAAAGGAGCGCUAAUACCGCAUACGCCCUACGGGGGAAAGCAGGGGAUCUUUGGACCUUGCGCUAAUAGAUGAGCCUAAGUCGGAUUAGCUAGUUGGUGGGGUAAAGGCUUACCAAGGCGACGAUCUGUAGCGGGUUU